This is an unclassified non-coding RNA of Pongo abelii (Sumatran orangutan), 148 nucleotides long. It matches the Rfam family "Metazoan signal recognition particle RNA". Rfam says of the family: The signal recognition particle (SRP) is a universally conserved ribonucleoprotein. It is involved in the co-translational targeting of proteins to membranes. The record is from Ensembl. NCBI's taxonomy places the organism in Eukaryota, Metazoa, Chordata, Mammalia, Primates, Hominidae.
GCUGGGCAUGGUGGUGCAUGCCUGUAAUCCCAGCUACUUGGGAGGCUGAGGCAGGAGAAUCGCUUGAACCCGGGAGGCAGAGGUUGCAGUGAGCUGAGAUCGCGCCACUGUACUUCAUCCUGGGCAACAGAGCAAGACUCUGUCUCAA